Molecule: ribosomal RNA, 503 nt
Filed under: uncultured bacterium
Lineage: Bacteria
Description: partial 16S ribosomal RNA
Rfam family: Bacterial small subunit ribosomal RNA
Source: RNAcentral
AUUGAACGCUGGCGGCAGGCUUAACACAUGCAAGUCGAGCGGGGUGAUGGUGCUUGCACUAUCACUUAGCGGCGGCCGGGUGAGUAAUGCUUAGGAAUCUGCCUAUUAGUGGGGGACAACAUCUCGAAAGCGAUGCUAAUACCGCAUACGUCCUACGGGAGAAAGCAGGGGAUCCAUUGUGACCUUGCGCUAAUAGAUGAGCCUAAGUCGGAGUAGCUAGUUGGUGGGGUAAAGGACUACCAAGGCGACGAUCUGGAGCGGGUCUGAGAGGAUGAUCCGCCACACUGGGACUGAGACACGGCCAAGACUCCUACGGGAGGCAGCAGUGGGGAAUAUUGGACAAUGGGGGGAACCCUGAUCCAGCCAUGCCGCGUGUGUGAAGAAGGCCUUAUGGUUGUAAAGCACUUUAAGCGAGGAGGAGGCUCUUUUGGUUAAUACCCAAGAUGAGUGGACGUUACUCGCAGAAUAAGCACCGGCUAACUCUGUGCCAGCAGCCGCCGUAA